Molecule: ribosomal RNA, 253 nt
Filed under: uncultured bacterium
Lineage: Bacteria
Description: partial 16S ribosomal RNA
Rfam family: Bacterial small subunit ribosomal RNA
Source: RNAcentral
UACGUAGGGGGCAAGCGUUGUCCGGAUUUAUUGGGCGUAAAGAGCGUGUAGGCGGCUUGGAAGGUCAGCUGUGAAAACUCGAGGCUCAACCUCGAGACGUCGGUUGAAACCACCUGGCUAGAGUCCGGAAGAGGAGAGUGGAAUUCCCGGUGUAGCGGUGAAAUGCGUAGAUAUCGAGAGGAACACCUGCGGCGAAGGCGGGUUGCUGGGCUGAUACUGACGCUGAGGCGCGAAAGCCAGGGGAGCGAACGGG